AGGUCCUGUUUGCCAAAAACCAGGGCGAUGUUAGCGUGUGCGCCGGCGAGAUCGAGACCUUCAUCCGAGUGCACCAGACCUCGGACCUCAGCAAGUCACCCAUUUUGCAAGUGUUCAUGAUCCGCCAGCUGCGCGGUCUGCGGGUCAACCUCUCCGGACUGGGACCUCUCAGCUGGUUGGUGAACCGGCUCCAGAGGUCCCUCAUCAACAUGUUCAGGAUACGCAUCCAGAGUCUGCUUCAGGAGAGGGUGCAUGGCCUGAUCCAGACAGAGCUCAACAAAUUCAGCCUGUCCGAGCUCAGCAUGCGAGACAUUAUUGCAUGACGGCAGGCUCCAGGGGUGUCCAACCCGGCCACCACGCCGCACGGCUGAGUCGGACACCCCUGGAGUAAUCUCCCCCAUCGCCUGACGAGAAAGGACGACAUUUCUGCAAGACUUCGGGAUGAGGAAAGCAGAGUUAAGCCUCCACUAGAGUCUAUCAAAUGAUCGCUAGAAGAAAUAAUCAACGACGCAGCUUAUAGCCUCAGUUGCGUAAAAAUUCACCGAACAUAGGAUGCGUGCAAGAAAGGGUGGUGACUGGUGACCAAAGUAUUACUAAACUCUUCGACUCCUUGUAUCCGCCGAACCGUAUACUAUAGGGUUCAGACACGUUGAAAGUUAACAGGCUUCACUAAAAUAAUCCGAUUGGCAUCUGGCCUGGUGGCAUAGUAAGAGCGGCAAGGAGCACUACGAUACCGCAUAAGUUUACAACAUUCCAUAAUGCAUUUGCAAUAGGCAUAUAAAGUGUCGGGGUACGGCCGAGAGUAACAACUGGGACCCAAGAGCUAGUCUAGUAUUAUACAUACAGCCGAUAUGUAAGCCUGCAUCGAUUCAUAUCAAUAGCUCAUGUCACGUGACAUUAAUCACUACAUAAACUAGUCAAAUGGACCGGUUGAACCAGCGCUUUAUAACCGGUUCACCCUCUGAUGAGUGGUUCCAGUUAGGAGACGUCUUGUUCAUCUCGCAGACGCAAUGUGUCGAGACGAGUUGAUGACGUUGCGAAAGGAGUGCAAGUCUCCACUCGGCCUUGGCAAGCUUACUCAAUGUGACAUACGCUGCCCCGGUGACCAUAUCUGACGCAUAUGUGACGAUUCGCGACAAUGUGAAAUGGUUUGUAAUAGGCUGGUA
This is a long non-coding RNA of Amphibalanus amphitrite, 1166 nucleotides long. RefSeq lists it as uncharacterized. The record is from RefSeq and is a predicted model, not a curated record. Lineage: Eukaryota; Metazoa; Arthropoda; Thecostraca; Balanomorpha; Balanidae. The transcript has 3 exons.